RNAcentral lists this ribosomal RNA (2517 nucleotides) under Triticum aestivum (bread wheat). RNAcentral's name for it is "partial small subunit ribosomal RNA". The record is from RNAcentral. Lineage: Eukaryota; Viridiplantae; Streptophyta; Magnoliopsida; Poales; Poaceae.
AUGGGCGUCGGGUGCAGCAACCGGACGGGCCACGUCGUCAAGCUCCAGGUCAACAGCUACGGAGCAAUCGGAGGUGAGAUAAGCUCCUCCUUGCUCACUCUACGACAUCUCAAGCACCUGGACCUCUCAUCCAACUACUUUGGUGGGAGAUCCAUUCCUCAAUUCAUCGGUGACCUCCGGAGCCUGACUCAUCUCGCCCUCACUGAUUCGUUCUUCGGUGGGCGAAUCCCUCCUCACCUUGGGAACCUCUCGAAUCUGGUCAGUCUUGACCUCUCAAUUCUGGGUUGUUGCUCGCCUGAUCUCUUAUGGGUGACGCACCUACAGAAGCUACAACACCUCGACAUGGCUGAGGUGGACCUUAGCGCUGCCGUCAACUGGACUCAUGAUGUCAACAUGCUCCCCUCUCUGGUAACCCUUGAGCUAACAUCUUGUGGGCUUCGUAACAUUAUGCCUCUACCGUUGCACUCAAAUCUCACGUCACUAGAAACCCUUGACCUCGACUCCAAUUCCUAUAGAUGCGGAAUCGUGGGUUCUAUCCCUGACGCAGUGGGAAACUUGACCUCCAUUCAAUCAUUGUCCCUCAUAGAAAACAACUUCUUUGGCAUGGUGCCAUCCACCUUCAAGAAACUCAAGAGACUACAAGUGCUCCAUCUAUCGGAAAACUUCAUUAGCGGAGGCACGCAAGAUCUAUUUUAUAGAUUGCCAGGGGAUGAGUUACAAGAGUUGUAUUUGGGCCACAACAAUUUGACAGGGACUCUUCCAGAUCGGCUAGAAAAAUUUAGCAGCUUGUCCACACUUUGGCUCAAUAAUAACAAACUAUUCGGAGAGAUACCUAUCGGUAUACGAAAACUCACAAAUUUGGUGGACCUGUGGUUGGACUCAAACAAUCUGCAUGGUAUAGUCACCCAGGACCAUUUCACCAAUAUGACUAGCCUGCAAAAUUUGUGGCUCUCUGGUAAUUCCAUAACUAUGUUGGUCAACAACACAUGGAGCACUCCAUUCAGCUUAACUUCAGCGGGCUUUAGAUCUUGCAUCCUAGGCCCCCAGUUUCCGGCAUGGAUUAUCCAACAAACACUGUACACCCUUGAUAUUUCAAACACAAGCAUACAUGACUCCAUUCCUGGUACUUUUUGGAUUGGAAUGUACCGUUGUCGAGUUCUGGAUCUAUCGGAAAAUCAGAUUUAUGGCAUGCUGCCCACAUAUUUUCUGUUUGGUGGAAUGGAAGCUGUUAUACUGGAUAUUAGUUCUAACCAGCUCGUUGGCCCGAUUCCAACACUCCCAAUGAACCUCAGCUUGUUGGACCUCUCUGGGAACAACCUAUCCGGUGCAUUGCCAUCAGAUAUCGGAGCACCGGGGCUGGAAAUACUCAUGCUCUUCAAAAAUUCCUUUUCUGGGACCAUUCCAUGCUCCCUCUUUGAGCUGCAAAAUUUGCAGUUUCUAGAUCUAUCAGAGAACAAACUAAAUGGGACAUUGGCCAAUUGCCUCCGUGCACCCAAAACUUCAAACGUGACCAUGCUUAACUUGAAUAACAACAAUCUUUCGGGAAGAAUCCCGUCAUUUCUUCAGAGGUGUAAAGAGCUAAAAUUCCUUGAUCUCGCAUACAAUGAAUUUUCUGGGAGCUUACCGACAUGGAUCGGCUCAAAGCUACCAUCCUUGGCAUUUCUGCGGUUGCGGUCAAACAUGCUCUCUGGUGGCAUCCCUGGUGAACUGACCAGGAUGCAUGGGCUUCAAUAUCUAGACAUUGCAAGCAACAACAUCUCAGGGAACAUACCAUGGUCGCUUGGGAAUCUGCUAGCUUUGGCUCAUACUCCCGAUCAAGAAGGUGCCCUUUUCAAAAUUGUCAACUUUCGGAUUGUCUCCGUCUACAAGUACACUAAUGCGUAUACUGAUAGUUUAUCGGUGGUCACAAAAGGUCAGCAGUUGGAAUACACAACAGGAAUCGCAUAUAUGGUAAACAUUGAUUUUUCUUGCAACUGUUUGACAGGGAAGAUUCCUCAUGAAAUCGGCAUGCUCAGUGCAUUGACAAACUUGAACUUGUCAUGGAAUCACCUUAGCAGCACAAUCCCUGUGACUAUUGGGGAGCUACGGGCACUGGAAUCUUUGGACCUCUCACACAAUGAGCUCUCUGGUCAAAUCCCGACGAGCAUGGCAGAUCUAACUUCACUUGCCCACUUGAACUUGUCUUACAACAAUCUGACAGGAACCAUACCUUCUGGCAAUCAGUUACAAACUUUAGAUGAUGCGUCAAUCUAUGCUGGCAAUCCAGGUCUUUGUGGUCCGCCUGUAUCAAGGAAUUGCUCGGGACCGGAAAUCACUCCAUGGACUCCUGAAAAUCGGCCAUUGUCAUUAUACCUCGGCAUUGGCACGGGAUUCGUAGCAGGUCUCUGGAUCAUCUACUGCAGCUUCUUAUUCAAGAGGAGCUGGAGAAUUAUUUGGUUCUCGUUGUUCGACCGCGUGUGUGAUUGGGUCUACGUGCGAGUGGCGGUGAGCUGGGCUUCAUUCACAAGGAAAGAGUAG